UAAAAAGCUGGCAGAUAAAUGUAAUUAAUUUAGAAUUAAUAAAUAGAAAUUUCUACUUUUUAA
This 63-nucleotide transfer RNA is filed under the name Endomyzostoma sp. MZ-2009. RNAcentral's name for it is "tRNA-Leu". The record is from RNAcentral. Lineage: Eukaryota; Metazoa; Annelida; Myzostomida; Endomyzostomatidae.